AUGAACGCUGGCGGCGUGCCUAAUACAUGCAAGUCGAACGCUUCACUUCGGUGAAGAGUGGCGAACGGGUGAGUAAUACAUAAGUAACCUGGCAUCUACAGGGGGAUAACUGAUGGAAACGUCAGCUAAGACCGCAUAGGUGUAGAGAUCGCAUGAACUCUAUAUGAAAAGUGCUACGGGACUGGUAGAUGAUGGACUUAUGGCGCAUUAGCUUGUUGGUAGGGUAACGGCCUACCAAGGCGACGAUGCGUAGCCGACCUGAGAGGGUGACCGGCCACACUGGGACUGAGACACGGCCCAGACUCCUACGGGAGGCAGCAGUAGGGAAUUUUCGGCAAUGGGGGAAACCCUGACCGAGCAACGCCGCGUGAAGGAAGAAGUAAUUCGUUAUGUAAACUUCUGUCAUAGAGGAAGAACGGUGGAUAUAGGGAAUGAUAUCCAAGUGACGGUACUCUAUAAGAAAGCCACGGCUAACUACGU
RNAcentral lists this ribosomal RNA (480 nucleotides) under uncultured bacterium. Its description in RNAcentral is "partial 16S ribosomal RNA". It matches the Rfam family "Bacterial small subunit ribosomal RNA", at positions 29 to 506 of the family's 1533-position model. The record is from RNAcentral.